CUUAGUUCGUGGAGUGAUCUGUCUGCUUAAUUGCGUUUCAAAAUUUAACUUGAGGACCGGGUUUUGGUUUGGCUAGUGGUUCUACGAUGACUGUGAACUGUCAUGUCUUCGGAUGUGCGACUAUUGGUCUAGGAUCACAUGACUUGCCCCUGGGACUCUUUUGAACGCAACGGACGUGAUUGCAACCCCUUGUUGAGAUUAGAGAUAGUCUCGAUAUUCACUGGACAAACUGGCUGCUUUAUGCAGUCUUGUUGAAUGGUGGAUAAACUCGGGGGACUGCUGACUAUAACCAUUUCUCAAAACAGAGGAAGGUUGCGGCAAUAACAGGUCUGUGAUGCCCUCAGAUGUCCCGGGCUGCACACGUGCUACAAUGAGUGGCGCAAUGUGCUAAUGUUUAAGGGAUAAGAGUGUGGUCAGUAGAACGUCGGGAUUUCCCCUGACGUCUCCCCCGCACGAUUAUCAGCCUUCCCUUAACAGGGCGGGCAACCUUUUCAAAAUACUGGUUUGAUGUUAAAGUAUUGAGUCGUUUUUUUUGGAUGGUGGUUUGUUAACCAAUACCAUCCGGCAACUGCUCGCGAGUUUGUGGUUCUGGCG
RNAcentral lists this ribosomal RNA (594 nucleotides) under Globigerinoides ruber albus. RNAcentral's name for it is "partial small subunit ribosomal RNA". It matches the Rfam family "Eukaryotic small subunit ribosomal RNA", at positions 1293 to 1605 of the family's 1831-position model. The record is from RNAcentral. Lineage: Eukaryota; Foraminifera; Rotaliida; Globigerinidae.